Molecule: long non-coding RNA, 1337 nt
Organism: Scylla paramamosain (green mud crab)
Lineage: Eukaryota; Metazoa; Arthropoda; Malacostraca; Decapoda; Portunidae
Exons: 3
Source: RefSeq, a predicted model, not a curated record
AUCAGCGUUUAAUUGCGUGUGUCUUAAUAGAAAAAAAUAGCUGAUUUCCAAAUUAUACAUCAAAGUAUGACCUCGUCUAGUUCAGGAGAGUCCUUCGUAUAAAUGCACUGGUGUGUGUAUGUGUGUGUGAGUGUUAUUGCUAGUUACCUCUCUCUCUCUCUCUCUCUCUCUCUCUCUCUCUCUCUGUCAGUAGUUGCACAGGUCUUCAAGGGUAUUUUUACGGUUUUAGUGACAGAUUAACAACAUUUCUACAUUAAUAACAGGAGAAACACCAUUGAAAACCCUGAUAAUCAUCUUUAUACCUUUGAAAAACAGUCGUGAGGAGAGAGAGAGAGAGAGGGGGAGAGUAGGAGCAUUUCAGUUGAGCCUAUUCUGCCCUGGUUCGUGUUUGCUGCGGUGACACGGUGCCGCACUGAGUGAAGAUUGCGUUCUUAAUCACUUAUCGGGGGUGGAGUGGGGAAAGGAGAGUCAGGAAGUGAGGAUAUUUAUAUUAUUUGACAUAUUAUUUGAUAGCAUGUCAACUUUUGUGUGUGUGUGUGUGUGGGUGGGUGUUGGAUCAGUGACAGGUGGCGCUGGGGAGUUACCACGGCGAGCGGCUGGCUGGCUGCAGUGUUUUGGUCAGCACUGGUCAAUCUUGCCCUAUACGCUCUAUUAACCAGUGUUUCUGUCUUCCCGACACCUUCUUCCUGCACCAAGCACCGUCAAGCAUCACCAGAGAGGCACGAGUACGUAAGUGUGAAUGGACAACAGUAAGGAGCUCAGAAAUUGAAUCAACACACCAGAGAACCUGUCUUGUACCCAAAUGGCCUGAUAUAUAACAUUUUGAACCAGCAGUGGAAUGCACAGAUCCUGAUUCAUAUAUAGACCUGAUGGCUUCUUCACAGUUAAUACAUGGGGGUGACAUGGUACAGUGAUACCACAGGCACUUUGGGGGCCAAGGGAUCCUCAGAUGCAUACAGGUUUGAAUCCUGGCCUUGGUCUGAGGAUAGGAAGGGCAUCCACUCAGGGUAAUGAUUCCUAAAUGCCAUAACCAAAGGAGGCACCAUCCUAGCCUUAAUACACUAGGGAAACCAAAUGUUAAAGCAGUUAAUCUGUCAUUUCAUUGUUAACAACUAAUUGAAAGCUCUAUCCACAAAGUCUACAUGCAUUCACAUGGCAAGGUACAGAAAUAAAACAAUGUAGAGGAAGAUCAUUCUUGAGGAAAUUAUGCACUAUAACAACAGUAAAUUACUAUGAUACAGGUGUAAAAAAAAAAAAAAAAAAUUAAAGUUUAAACUGCUGCAGCAACUUUAAUGGGCUUCUCAGACUGAAGGUAAAGUCCGUGAUUAAUCUUGAAA